This 574-nucleotide ribosomal RNA is filed under the name uncultured bacterium. RNAcentral's name for it is "partial 16S ribosomal RNA". It matches the Rfam family "Bacterial small subunit ribosomal RNA", at positions 355 to 921 of the family's 1533-position model. The record is from RNAcentral.
UGGGGAAUUUUGGACAAUGGGCGCAAGCCUGAUCCAGCCAUGCCGCGUGCGGGAAGAAGGCCUUCGGGUUGUAAACCGCUUUUGUCAGGGAAGAAAUCUUCUGAGUUAAUACCUCGGGAGGAUGACGGUACCUGAAGAAUAAGCACCGGCUAACUACGUGCCAGCAGCCGCGGUAAUACGUAGGGUGCAAGCGUUAAUCGGAAUUACUGGGCGUAAAGCGUGCGCAGGCGGUUUUGUAAGACAGAGGUGAAAUCCCCGGGCUCAACCUGGGAACUGCCUUUGUGACUGCAAGGCUUGAGUGCGGCAGAGGGGGAUGGAAUUCCGCGUGUAGCAGUGAAAUGCGUAGAUGUGCGGAGGAACACCGAUGGCGAAGGCAAUCCCCUGGGCCUGCACUGACGCUCAUGCACGAAAGCGUGGGGAGCAAACAGGAUUAGAUACCCUGGCUAGUCCACGCCCUAAACGAUGUCAACUGGUUGUUGGGAAGGUUCCUUCUCAGUAACGUAGCUAACGCGUGAAGUUGACCGCCUGGGGAGUACGGCCGCAAGGUUGAAACUUAAAUGAAUUGACGGGGUCA